AAAAAAAUAAUAAGCCACUAAUAUAAACGGACAGUUCGUUAAACCGUACAUAUUAUAAUUUUCAGUUCAUCGGAGUGAGAUGAUUAGAUGGAGAUGGAUGAAGAUAGCUGUUUCUUCGGCGAUGGCGGCACUCUAGCUACGUUUCACCGGAAGAGUAGAUGUUUACGAAGUCGUCGCAGAAGACACAUUCAACUAAAAAUUCUAAAAUUUCAAUAAGCAAAGAAGAUAUUCCAAGUUCUGUAUUCUGGAGCGUUUCCUCAUCGGCGUCGCAGUUCACACACGUCACGGAUACCGCCGAAAGAGUCGAUAAUUCAGACUGAACUUUUGGAUCGGAGAUAUGAAGACGCGCGCUGCAUUUUCCUUGGCGGAGAUGCACAGCUCUGACACUAGACAAUAUUAUACACUCGAAGGGAACGCGUUUCGCCGGAAGAAUAAAUAAUUACAAAUGGUAUUCGUCAGUGAACAUUUUCAAACUGGGAAUAAUAUAUCAUAAGCAGAUUGAAAUGUGUGAACGUUUCAGUGUUUCGAAGACUAAGUUUCGUAGCAGAUUUCGAUUCCGUCACGGGAUGUACUAUACAUAACAAAAAUGACAUGUGUCACGUCCGUCCGGUAGUAUUAUCAGUCUCAUCCGUACACGUGAAGAAAUUUAUUUAUGAGAGAGCUUCCGACAACUUUUUUACGUCGACCGUCCAUACUUCACUGACUACUGGUCUAUUUUCCGACUUUACUGGUUGUAGAAUGAACAAUAACGUGAAAUAAACUUAAAUCGAUUAAAAAGAAAAUCACUAAAUGGUACACUCAGCCCAAUGCCUCCAGACGAUCCGAAAUCAUCAAUACCAGAACAAGAAUCGGCCAUACCAAUCUCACCCAUAUUCACAUCAUAAAACAUGAAGAACAACCUCUCUGUAGCCAAUGUAACGAACCUCUCUCAAUCAAACAUGUAGUCUUAGACUGCCCGCUAUAUGUCAACGAAAGAAACAUCCUCAACCAACCAUCAACGAUGGAGGAAGCUCUAGGAGAACACAACACGCACUUGAUCCAUACCUUCUUCAAAUCCAUCGGCAUUGACACAAAAAUUUAAUGUAAAGAUAGAACUACACUGCUAAAAAUAUAAUGUAAAUAUACAAUAUCACUGUAAAAUCCAUAUAUACCACAAUUGUAACGUAAAAUUAAUUUAGAAUUUAGUUAUUUAUUUGUAUAUUCACUAAUUAAUGACAAUGUAACCACAACCACAGGCUAAUGACCUAGCUGUUGAAGCCUUUAAUACCAAUAAAAAAAAAAAAAAAAAUAACGUGAAACCUUGUUUUUAAUUCACCAUUUCUUAGCUAUGAAAAUUGAAAACAUUAUAAUUUCUGAAUUAUUUAGACUAGGUGCUUAUCGUGUAAGCAGACCAAAAAAAAAAAAAACACACACACAUCAAGUGUAAUAUCAAUACAUUCAUUGAUCCACUCAGAAUCUAAAAUCAUUUGAGUAUACAAUUUUGAUUUCACGUAAAAACGUUUUGUCCCUGUUAA
Long non-coding RNA from Metopolophium dirhodum (rose-grain aphid), 1514 nucleotides. RefSeq lists it as uncharacterized. NCBI's taxonomy places the organism in Eukaryota, Metazoa, Arthropoda, Insecta, Hemiptera, Aphididae. The transcript has 7 exons. The record is from RefSeq and is a predicted model, not a curated record.